Molecule: long non-coding RNA, 636 nt
Organism: Sander lucioperca (pikeperch)
Lineage: Eukaryota; Metazoa; Chordata; Actinopteri; Perciformes; Percidae
Exons: 4
Source: RefSeq, a predicted model, not a curated record
ACGUUAAGUUCAGUAAUUAUUUAAAAAGUAGGAGGAUCACAACUCUUUCUACUUCAGAUAAAAACAAGACUACAUUGCAACACACAGACAUAAUUUUAUAGUAAUGGAGAAUAUAAAAAUGUGAGCUGAUGAUGUUACUGGAUAAAAACGUAUCAAAGUCAGUAGGAUUCAUCCUCUGAGGAACAUGAACGUCUGAACCAACGAUCCACAGAGACACUCUGCUAGUGGGUCUAAAAAGGACAUAAAAGAAGAGACAGUCAUGUUAAUAUGAACAUUAGAGAAACACAUCAUGGAGCUGGAAUAUGAUACUGGUUAAUAAUUUGGACUGGUUCACCUCAGCAGACACAUUCAACAGCUGACAGGUUUUUGUAUCACUCAGUUUCACUGUGAGAGGCAAAUUGAUCUACUGGAUCUUUGGCUCUGGAACUAAACUGAUUGUAUCAGAUGAGCCGGUAGUGAAGCCCGUGGUGAGGAGUGGAGGCCCACACAGAACAAGAGGUUCCAGCUCCAGCAGCCUCCUGUCCUCCAGAGAGAGAUCCACCAGACCAGCUAGCUCUGGAGGAAGCUGACUUGUCCUUCCAGUUUCAGUGCAGGGUGAAGUUGUUCUGUCUGCUGUACACACAGCUGAUAGUGAAG